AAAUUGAAGAGUUUGAUCAUGGCUCAGAUUGAACGCUGGCGGCAGGCCUAACACAUGCAAGUCGAACGGUAACAGGAAGAAGCUUGCUUCUUUGCUGACGAGUGGCGGACGGGUGAGUAAUGUCUGGGAAACUGCCUGAUGGAGGGGGAU
This 150-nucleotide ribosomal RNA is filed under the name Escherichia coli. Its description in RNAcentral is "partial 16S ribosomal RNA". It matches the Rfam family "Bacterial small subunit ribosomal RNA", at positions 1 to 144 of the family's 1533-position model. Lineage: Bacteria; Pseudomonadati; Pseudomonadota; Gammaproteobacteria; Enterobacterales; Enterobacteriaceae. The record is from RNAcentral.